AUCCGGCUGAUGAGUCCAAAAUAGGACGAAACGUGCGUCCUGGAU
This 45-nucleotide non-coding RNA is filed under the name Schistosoma mansoni. Lineage: Eukaryota; Metazoa; Platyhelminthes; Trematoda; Strigeidida; Schistosomatidae. The record is from RNAcentral.